RNAcentral lists this long non-coding RNA (228 nucleotides) under Phoenix dactylifera (date palm). RNAcentral describes it as "long non-coding RNA (PDAC_LNC012853)". Lineage: Eukaryota; Viridiplantae; Streptophyta; Magnoliopsida; Arecales; Arecaceae. The record is from RNAcentral.
UUCUCAAAGAAAAAAAUGAUGAAAUCCAAGAGAGAGAGAAAGCCGGCAGGAAAAAGGAGGGAGAACCCAGUCGUGAUGAAGGCCUUCUACAUCGCUGCUGCUGUCGCCCACGACUCCAUGGAAGGCUGAUCUCUUCACUAGGGCUGGAUGCAACCCUAACAAAGGGCCAAGGGUUUUAUGUUUUUAAUUUUCUAUUCCUGGAGUUGUAUAAACUUUAUUUUGCUCCUA